GGGUCGAUCGUAUAACGGGAGUGCACCUGCCUUUUAAGCAGCGAGGCGAAGGUUCGACACCUUCUCGACCCA
This 72-nucleotide transfer RNA is filed under the name Candidatus Obscuribacterales bacterium. RNAcentral's name for it is "tRNA-Lys". It matches the Rfam family "tRNA". Rfam says of the family: Transfer RNA (tRNA) molecules are approximately 80 nucleotides in length. Their secondary structure includes four short double-helical elements and three loops (D, anti-codon, and T loops). Lineage: Bacteria; Bacillati; Candidatus Melainabacteria; Candidatus Obscuribacterales. The record is from RNAcentral.